This 119-nucleotide microRNA precursor is filed under the name Cucumis melo (muskmelon). RNAcentral's name for it is "miR393c stem-loop (cme-MIR393c)". Its record names the gene cme-MIR393c. It matches the Rfam family "mir-393 microRNA precursor family". Lineage: Eukaryota; Viridiplantae; Streptophyta; Magnoliopsida; Cucurbitales; Cucurbitaceae. The record is from miRBase by way of RNAcentral.
GGUGGAGAGUUCCAAAGGGAUCGCAUUGAUCCAAUGUUCGUCUUGUCUUAUUGGUGAUGUUGGAGUGAUCAAUUCCCAAUCGAUUAUUGGAUCGUGCGAUCCCUUAGGAAUCUUCCAUC